CAGAGUGCUCCGUGCGAUCGCGCGGUAUCAUACCGAAAGGUCAUACCGUGAGGAAAGUCCGGGCUUCACAGAGCAGGAUAACGGAUAACAUCCGCCGAGGGCGACCUCCGGGCAAGUGCAACAGAAAGAAACCGCCUGAACUGUUCAGGUAAGGAUGGAAAGGCGAGGUAAGAGCUCACCGACGGGCAGGAGACUGUUCCGCCAUGUAAACCCUAUCCGAAGCAACACCGCAUAAGGAGCAUCACGUCUGCUCGACAGCUCCAUGGGUGGCACAGAGCCGUGCGGCAACGCACGGACAAGAUAGAUGAUCGCACAAGACAGAACCCGGCUUACAGGACACUCUGCAUU
This is a non-coding RNA of Ruminococcus sp. CAG:382, 348 nucleotides long. It matches the Rfam family "Bacterial RNase P class A". From Rfam's summary of the family: Ribonuclease P (RNase P) is a ubiquitous endoribonuclease, found in archaea, bacteria and eukarya as well as chloroplasts and mitochondria. Its best characterised activity is the generation of mature 5'-ends of tRNAs by cleaving the 5'-leader elements of precursor-tRNAs. Cellular RNase Ps are ribonucleoproteins. Lineage: Bacteria; Bacillati; Bacillota; Clostridia; Eubacteriales; Oscillospiraceae. The record is from Rfam.